GCUGGGUGUGGUGGCACACACCUGUAAUCCCAGCUACUUGGGAGGCUGAGGCAGGAGAAUUGCUUGAACCCGGGAGAUGGAGGUUGCGGUGAGCCAAGAUCGCACCAUUGCACUCCAGCCUGGGUGACAGAGCGAGACUCUGUCUCAA
Molecule: non-coding RNA, 148 nt
Filed under: Pan troglodytes (chimpanzee)
Lineage: Eukaryota; Metazoa; Chordata; Mammalia; Primates; Hominidae
Source: Rfam by way of RNAcentral